Molecule: ribosomal RNA, 250 nt
Filed under: uncultured bacterium
Lineage: Bacteria
Description: partial 16S ribosomal RNA
Rfam family: Bacterial small subunit ribosomal RNA
Source: RNAcentral
UACGUAUGGUGCAAGCGUUGUUCGGAAUCACUGGGCGUAAAGAGCACGCAGGCGGACCAUUAAGUCAGGUGUGAAAACUAUGGGCUCAACCCAUAGCCUGCACUUGAAACUGUUGGUCUGGAGUCCCGGAGAGGUGGGUGGAAUUCUCGGUGUAGCGGUGAAAUGCGUAGAUAUCGAGAGGAACACCAAUGGCGAAGGCAGCCCACUGGACGGUGACUGACGCUGAGGUGCGAAAGCGUGGGGAGCAAAC